Molecule: ribosomal RNA, 301 nt
Filed under: uncultured bacterium
Lineage: Bacteria
Description: partial 16S ribosomal RNA
Rfam family: Bacterial small subunit ribosomal RNA
Source: RNAcentral
CAGUCGCCGCGGUAAUACGUAGGGUGCAAGCGUUAAUCGGAAUUACUGGGCGUAAAGCGUGCGCAGGCGGUUUGUUAAGACAGAUGUGAAAUCCCCGGGCUCAACCUGGGAACUGCAUUUGUGACUGGCGAGCUAGAGUAUGGCAGAGGGGGGUAGAAUUCCACGUGUAGCAGUGAAAUGCGUAGAGAUGUGGAGGAAUACCGAUGGCGAAGGCAGCCCCCUGGGCCAAUACUGACGCUCAUGCACGAAAGCGUGGGGAGCAAACAGGAUUAGAUACCCGAGUAGUCCCUGUCUCUUAUAC